UUCUCACAGAGGGAGGGGUGAGCUGUUGCUGAACAUAAAGACCUGACCAUGAUGGGCUACAGAUACAGAGUUGGAGGACGAAGGGGUAAACUGUUGGAAUAGUAUUCCUGAGCCUGAACCAGGAGACCAGAUGGAGGCGUCAAAAAAAUCAGGACAAAGAACAGAAGCAGGCCAAUCCACCAUGUCAGAGCCCAUCAGACGAAGAAACUCCAGCAGAGAGCUGCUGCAAAACCUCAUCCAGGUGACGUUCCAGCGGAGCCUUGAGGAUGCUGAGGAGGUGGAGCGAGAGCGCAGGAGGAGAACUAGGGAGAGGCAGAGAGACCAAGUGACGUCUCUGUCAAUGCCUCAGCAGGAAAAUAAACCAUUUUCUGAAGUGUCGGAUGAAGAAGUGAAGCCUAGUUGCUGCUUUGUUCAGGAGGAGGAUGAGGGUUUCAGUGACUGGAGCCACAGGUUGGAGAAGCGUAAUGUUCUUCGGGACUUCAGGGUCAAGGCGCAAGAACCUUCAUCAUUUCAGUGGGAAGCAGGCAUUAAUAAAGAGAAACAGCAGAAUGAUGAAGAGCAGGAGGAAUGGCAGCCAAAACAGAGAGCUCAUGGGCUGCAGUCCACCAGAAGCCCUCCACUGAGCAAAAGAGACGUGUUUCUGACAAAUGAUCCAAGACAACAGCAGGCCAGCGACCCUCCGACAGACACAAUGCCCGACUUAACGACUGGAAGGAUGAGUGACAAGGUGAAGCAAGACAAAGAAGAGGUGCGUCAGAUUUUGCCGAACGAGUGGAGAGCUGGCGCUAGCGCUAACAAACCAACAUACGAAGUUGAUCAAGAAGAGGAUCACAACUUCACACAUGAAGGGAUGAAGGAAAGGCUUGCAGAGUUUGAUAGAAACCAAAAUCUGACAGAAAAGAGGUCAAGGGAAGAAGAACACAGAAGUGAUGACGAUAAAAGCAGGCCGUCCGGCCUUUCCGUUUACAGCAAUGAAGAAGAUGAGACAUUAAACUGCUAUGGAGCCAUGAGCCCAACAUUCAAGAAACUCCUCAUUCAGUUUUACCCAGAUGAGGCGAAGAGCAGAAUACCAGCAGAUGGUAAAUGUGUGAUCACCGAGCGAACCGAAUCUCUGCGAAAAAGUUCCAACAUCAAAAAGAAGAUUCCACAACCUCUUUGUGUUUCCAAGAUUGACAAGAAACUCCAGCAGUAUACACAUGCUCUUGAGGUUUCCACAAAGGAAUGCAAACCAGCUAGUCCAGUCCUUGUGGAUGUGAUAAGUCCCAUUGCACAAAAAAAGAAUCUUUUUGAGGCUGGAGUGGCAUGGAACCAAAACACUCUCUCAAACACACCACCAAAGGAAAUAAAACCCGGUGAUGUUUUAAACAAGAAAAAUGUGUGGGAAAACUUCAGCGAAAUUGUUUCUCCCACUUCUUCUGUGAGGAAUAGCAAGGAAUCCUCAACUGGUAAAAAGUCUAAAUUUGUUGUGAUGGCUCAUGGCAAAUAUGAGAAGCCUACUGAUGAGGAUGCUGGCAGUGACGAUGCAAACUGGACAGCACAGGAGCAACAGGAGGCAGGUCUGCAACUUGAGAAGGUGUUGGGUCGGAACCAUAGUUUAGGAUGGCUGAGGAUGGUGUCAGGUUAUGAGUUGAUAUUUUAGGAUUGGACUCUGACACAGUGAUAGGAUGGUCUGUCGUGUCUGACCUAAGAGAAUCCAGUGACACUGAAUUGAAAGCAUCUUGAGGUGAGGAUGAUGGAAUCCACUGCAUUCUUGGUGCGGUGGACGAAUUUAAAGGUGGCAUCACUUCAUCAAAUAAAAAUGCGGAGCAUUCAUAUAGUGGUGCCACCUGCUCUCCAGAAGUCUUAAUCUGUCUUUUGUAGGUAUGUGGCAGAUUGCCAUCCCAUUUCUUGUAGGAGCUGCUUUCAAGAAGAGGAAAUGUAGAUGCAGAUUGAUCAAAGGAGUCUAGUGGAAGAGCAGACCACAAGGAUUCCGCAGUGCCGACUGAAUCCGGUGUUCUGGGUGGACUGGACAGGUCACUGUGCUCAAGAUCUGUACUGGCUUCAUUUACAGGUGACAAACAGGAACGAAAUGGGACAGGUGUCUGGGAGAGACUGCCCUUUCUCUUGGCUCUCUUUUUCUUUAGUUUUUGAAGCCUCACAUUGUCUUUGGCUGGUUUCGGGAGUAAAGGUGGUGGAUAUUGCUGGGAAAGCCCCGACUCAAACCCGUUGCUCACUUCCAUCAGCAUAUCAAGUCCUGCAAAAGAUACAGAGCCUGAAGAAAAAUGGAAGAGGGACAUGCCAUUUAGGAUUUCCCCCCAAAACAUUUACAUCUAAAACCGUAUCGCCUUUGUGAUUUCCGUCAUCCAUAUAUUUGAACAUAUAUUAUGCCGCUUUACUCAAAUGUUGUAAAGCUUACCUAUCACACCUAUUACUUUUUAGCAACAUUUUGGAAACUUUGUUUUUAGACAUGUAUUCAUUUAUGCUACAAUACUUUAUCUUGUAAUAUAAUAAAAUAACUAUAUUUUUUCUUAA
This is an RNA transcript of Syngnathus typhle (broad-nosed pipefish), 2511 nucleotides long. It is a transcript of the gene named lymphocyte-specific protein 1-like, with no coding region annotated. NCBI's taxonomy places the organism in Eukaryota, Metazoa, Chordata, Actinopteri, Syngnathiformes, Syngnathidae. The record is from RefSeq and is a predicted model, not a curated record. The transcript has 15 exons.